AUUGAACGCUGGCGGCAUGCCUUACACAUGCAAGUCGAACGCCAGCAUGAUCUACCUUGCUGGAUGGAUGGCGAGGGGCGACCGGGUGGGUAAUACAUCGGAACGUGCCCUGUGGGGGGGGAUAAUUAGUCGAAAGAUUGCCUAUUACCGAAUACGACCGGAGGGUGAAGGGGGGGGACCGCAAGCCCCCAGCCUAUAGGAGCGGCGGAUGUCUGAUUAGCUAGUUGGUGGGGUAAAGGCCCACCAAGGCGACGAUCAGUAGCUGGUCUGAGAGGACGAUCAGCCACACUGGGACUGAGACACGGCCCAGACUCCUACGGGAGGCAGCAGUGGGGAAUUUUGGACAAUGGGGGCAACCCUGAUCCAGCAAUGCCGCGUGUGUGAAGAAGGCCUUCGGGUUGUAAAGCACUUUUGUCCGGAAAGAAAUCGCACUUACUAAUAUUAGGUGUGGAUGACGGUACCGGAAGAAUAAGGACCGGCUAACUACGUG
Molecule: ribosomal RNA, 490 nt
Filed under: uncultured bacterium
Lineage: Bacteria
Description: partial 16S ribosomal RNA
Rfam family: Bacterial small subunit ribosomal RNA
Source: RNAcentral